UAAGCAUAUCAAUAAGCGGAGGAAAAGAAACCAACAGGGAUUGCCCUAGUAACGGCGAGUGAAGCGGCAACAGCUCAAAUUUGAAAUCUGGCUUUCGGGCCCGAGUUGUAAUUUGUAGAGGAUGAUUUUGAUGCGGUGCCUUCCGAGUUCCCUGGAACGGGACGCCAUAGAGGGUGAGAGCCCCGUCUGGUUGGAUGCCAAAUCUCUGUAAAUCUCCUUCGACGAGUCGAGUAGUUUGGGAAUGCUGCUCUAAAUGGGAGGUAUAUGUCUUCUAAAGCUAAAUACCGGCCAGAGACCGAUAGCGCACAAGUAGAGUGAUCGAAAGAUGAAAAGCACUUUGAAAAGAGAGUUAAAAAGUACGUGAAAUUGUUGAAAGGGAAGCGUUUAUGACCAGACUUGGGCUUGGUUAAUCAUCUGGGGUUCUCUCCAGUGCACUUUUCCAGCCCAGGCCAGCAUCAGUUUUCGCCGGGGGAUAAAGACUUCGGGAAUGUGGCUCCCCUCGGGGAGUGUUAUAGCCCGUUGUGUAAUACCCUGGUGGGGACUGAGGUUCGCGCUUCUGCAAGGAUGCUGGCGUAAUGGUCAUCAACGACCCGUCUUGAAACACGGACCAAGGAGUCGUCUUCGUAUGCGAGUGUUCGGGUGUCAAACCCCUACGCGUAAUGAAAGUGAACGCAGGUGAGAGCUUCGGCGCAUCAUCGACCGAUCCUGAUGUUCUCGGAUGGAUUUGAGUAAGAGCAUACGGGGCCGGACCCGAAAGAAGGUGAACUAUGCCUGUGUAGGGUGAAGCCAGAGGAAACUCUGGUGGAGGCUCGCAGCGGUUCUGACGUGCAAAUCGAUCGUCAAACAUGGGCAUGGGGGCGAAAGACUAAUCGAACCUUCUAGUAGCUGGUUCC
RNAcentral lists this ribosomal RNA (893 nucleotides) under Fusarium culmorum. Its description in RNAcentral is "LSU rRNA". It matches the Rfam family "Eukaryotic large subunit ribosomal RNA", at positions 35 to 958 of the family's 3401-position model. Lineage: Eukaryota; Fungi; Ascomycota; Sordariomycetes; Hypocreales; Nectriaceae. The record is from RNAcentral.